RNAcentral lists this long non-coding RNA (1322 nucleotides) under Pan troglodytes (chimpanzee). RNAcentral's name for it is "long non-coding RNA NONPTRT000947". The record is from RNAcentral. Lineage: Eukaryota; Metazoa; Chordata; Mammalia; Primates; Hominidae.
CACACAUACACAUAUACACACCAGCUCUCACUGAAAUUAAACUAUAACUGAAGACAUCACACACACACACACAACAGCUCUCACUGAAAUUGAAGCCAAACUAUAACUGAAGAUAUCACACACACACACACACACACACACACCAGCUCUCACUGAGAUUAAGCUAUAACUGAAGACAUCACACACACACACACCAGCUCUCACUGAAAUUAAACUAUAACUGAAGACAUCACACACACACACACACACACCAGCUCUCACUGAAAUUAAACUAUAACUGAAGACAUCACACACACACACACACACACCAGCUCUCACUGAGAUUAAGCUAUAACUGAAGACAUCACACACACACACACACACACCAGCUCUCACUGAAAUUAAACUAUAACUGAAGACAUCACACACACACACCAGCUCUCACUGAAAUUAAGCUAUAACUGAAGACAUCACACACACACACACACACACACCAGCUCUCACUGAAAUUAAGCUAUAACUGAAGACAUCACACACACACACACACACCAGCUCUCACUGAAAUUAAGCUAUAACUGAAGACAUCACACACACACACACACACACCAGCUCUCACUGAAAUUAAACUAUAACUGAAGACAUCACACACACACACACACACACACACCAGCUCUCACUGAAAUUAAGCUAUAACUGAAGACAUCACACACACACACACACACACACACCAGCUCUCACUGAAAUUAAACUAUAACUGAAGACAAAUCCUGCAGGGUCACACACCAACUGCUGUUUGGGAAGUUCUUCAAUGAUUCCAACCUGGAUUCCUCUUACUUUACUUGGAUGCCAGCCACAACAUUCCUGGGAUCCUUUUCCAUUUAAAUAAGUUAGGGCUUGGAGAUGGGGAGUGGGAGGAGCAUGGGGAAGCCAAGGCCCAGAGAAGGUAAGCAACCGUCCUAAGAUAACACAGCACUCUUGAGAUGACAGCUCAGGUAUGCAGUCUGCCGGCCCAAGCCCCAUGGAACUGUGGGAAGGAACGCAAGUGAUUCUCCUAUUGGACAGGGGCAAGUGCAUGGAAAAGGAUGAUGGUGAGGCUGAAAGCAGGAAAAGAUUUGACCCAUCUCCCACGUAUGAGCAGCCAUCUCGGGGCACAGGAUCCUAGAAUCCUCAGCAAAGGCAGAAAAAUGGCUAAGAUGACCCUCACCAACCCAUAUGUGCCUUAUCAGCCCAAGAGUGAGUCAGCAGAUGCGGCCAGCACCUUCCGUGUCUGGAAAAGAGACAGGAUUGGGAGAAAAUGUGGGAGGUUGCCCUUUCCCUGGGCCAAAUUACAAUUCUAACCAAGG